GUCGAGCGCCCCGCAAGGGGAGCGGCAGACGGGUGAGUAACGCGUGGGAAUCUACCCAUCUCUACGGAAUAACAGUUGGAAACGACUGCUAAUACCGCAUACGCUCUACGGAGGAAAGGCUUCGGCCACCGUUUGAGGAUCCCGCGUCCGAUUAGCUAGUUGGUAGGGUAACGGCCUACCAAGGCGACGAUCCAUAGCUGGUCUGAGAGGAUGAUCAGCCACAUUGGGACUGAGACACGGCCCAGACUCCUACGGGAGGCAGCAGUGGGGAAUAUUGGACAAUGGGCGAAAGCCUGAUCCAGCCAUGCCGCGUGAGUGAUUAAGGCCCUAGGGUUGUAAAGCUCUUUCACCGGUGAAGAUAAUGACGGUAACCGGAGAAGAAGCCCCGGCUAACUUCGUGCCANCAGCCGCGGUAAUACGAAGGGGGCUAGCGUUGUUCGGAAUUACUGGGCGUAAAGCGCACGUAGGCGGAUUGUUAAGUGAGGGGUGAAAUCCCAGGGCUCAACCCUGGAACUGCCUUUCAUACUGGCAAUCUCGAGUCCGAGAGAGGUGAGUGGAAUUAUUGUGAGAGAGGUGAAAUUCUUAGACCAUAGCAAGACGAACUACUGCGAAAGCAUUUGCCAAGAAUGUUUUCAUUGAUCAAGAACGAAAGUUAGAGGUUCGAAGGCGAUCAGAUACCGCCCUAGUUCUAACCAUAAACUAUGCCGACUAGCAAUUUGCUUUGUAUUUUUAUGACUAAGUGAGAGGCCACGGGAAACCAAAGUAGGGUUAUGGGGGAAGUAUGGUUGCAAAGCUGAAACUUAAAGGAAUUGACGGAAGGGCACCACCAGGAGUGGAGCCUGCGGCUUAAUUUGACCCAACACGGGAAAACUUACCUGGUCCUGACACUAGAAGGAUUGACAGAUUGAUAGCUCUUUCUUGAUUUGGUGGAUGGUGGUGCAUGGCCGUUCUUAGUUGGUGGAGUGAUUUGUCUGGUUAAUUCCGAUAACGAACGAGACUCUAGCCUAUUAAAUAAUAUGCGGAAUCAAUUUCUCCCGCGUUAUUUCUUAAUGGGAUCAAGCGUGUUUAACGCUUUGAAACAGAGCAAUAACAGGUCUGUGAUGCCCUUAGAUGUUCGGGGCUGCACGCGCGUUACAUUGAAGAACAAAGUGAGCCCUCCGGCUUUUAACAAAGCUAGAAAUCUCUUAAUGUUCUUCUUAAUGGGGAUAGGGGAUUGCAAUUGUGCCCCUUGAACGAGGAAUUCCCAGUAAGUGCUAGUCAUUAGCUAGUACUGAUUACGUCCCUGCCCUUUGUACACACCGCCCGUCGCUACUACCGAUUGAAUAGUUUAGUGAGAUCAUCUGAGUGUUUGUAUGUGCAUUCUGUGCUUGUAUGGUGUACGAAGAAGAUCAAACUUGAUUAUUUAGAGGAAGUAAAAGUCGUAACAAGGUU
This 1431-nucleotide ribosomal RNA is filed under the name metagenome. RNAcentral's name for it is "bacterial SSU rRNA". It matches the Rfam family "Eukaryotic small subunit ribosomal RNA". The record is from RNAcentral.